Non-coding RNA from Schistosoma rodhaini, 48 nucleotides. The record is from Rfam. Lineage: Eukaryota; Metazoa; Platyhelminthes; Trematoda; Strigeidida; Schistosomatidae.
AUCCAACUGACGAGUCUCGAAUAGGACGAAACGCGCGUCAAACUGGAU